GCGGGAAUAGCUCAGCGGUAGAGCGCCAGCCUUCCAAGCUGGAUGUCGCGGGUUCGAAUCCCGUUUCCCGCUCCA
Molecule: transfer RNA, 75 nt
Filed under: Leptospirillum sp.
Lineage: Bacteria; Pseudomonadati; Nitrospirota; Nitrospiria; Nitrospirales; Nitrospiraceae
Also listed under: 8 other names
Description: tRNA-Gly
Rfam family: tRNA
About the family: Transfer RNA (tRNA) molecules are approximately 80 nucleotides in length.
Source: RNAcentral